Molecule: long non-coding RNA, 1470 nt
Filed under: Equus asinus (donkey)
Lineage: Eukaryota; Metazoa; Chordata; Mammalia; Perissodactyla; Equidae
Description: lncRNA (ENSEASG00005034613.1)
Source: RNAcentral
AAAAAAUCAGCUUUGACCUUGAAUAGUUUACAGCCCAGUUGAGAAGACAGUCCAGGACACACACAGCACACUAAGGAGACAAUUUAAGACAAGCUGAGAUGGCUUCACCCGGAUGCCAGCAGUUCCUCCUUGCCGGAGAAGAUCUGACCCGGCAGAGGCAGCCGGAGAGCAAAACCGGCCCCCAGCUGAAGAGCCAGCUGCAGCUGGACAGAUGGUGCUUGAGUGCCGAGGCCCAGGGAUUCUCCGGCCACAGUCCAGCCCAGCCACUGCCACUGCCACUUUCCAUGGGACUUGGAACUUCGGAGCUGUGUGCUGUGACUGGAUGAAGGACCUGGGGGGCGGCAGCCAUCGACAGCCCCUUUUGUAGCCAGGCUGUUCUAUGGGCAAUGAGUGGAAAUGCAGGAUCCAACCUCCAACCCUCCUUCUUAAAAAAAAAAAACAAAAGUCCCAGAAAACAGGCAAAAAUUGGAGUGCCCGAAAGGGCAGGAUGACCCUACCAGAGGCUCUUUUGCCUGAAGGUAGAGCCCCUGCCCUUGCCCAUCUCUCCUGCUGAGCCACAGACACUGCCUGGUCCCCACCCCUGACCCCAGCACCCUCUGGGCACCUUGGUCCCUUUAUUCCCACGGCCUCCUGCAUCUCAGCCUUUCCUGGGGCCGCUAACCCUCAGCACAACCCCUGCACAGAGCUCUUGGUGGGGGAGCCCUGGGCAGUCACUUGGGCUCCCUCUGAGGAGUGAUGGGCCCCCGAAGAGAGGUAUCUGCUGACUGCCCUGCCUGGGCCCCUCUGGCUGCCUCCGUUAGGGGCUGGCUAGGGCCCCCAGCAGGGAUGGGGAGGGUGGCCACCCCGGAGCUGGAGGACUUUUGCUAGGCAGGGGGAGUCUUUGGCAGAAGACAAAAGCCAGUUCUGGAUGGGACCUUGAAGUCACACAACAGUGAGGGCUCACAGGAGCUCUGACCCCCCCCUGGCUGGACUAGAAGUUCUUCUGCCACUAAGGGUGGGCAGCAGCGGGUUCUGAAGUGAUCCUGGGGAAGGUGCAGGACUGAGAAGCAAGGUGAAGAGGCUGCCAGCCUGGGUGGGAGGCCUGGGGCAGAAGGGCUUGCUGGGUGCCCCUUGCCGAGAGAGCGCGACAAGGUGAAAGAUCCGAGGAGGAAAACUCUCGGUUCUACAGAGCUUACCGACACCAACCACUGCCAGCGGGAGGGAGGCUGUCCCCGUCUCUCCGGCCGCCGACGCGACGGGAACACGCUGACCUCUCUCUCCGGAAAGCCGGGAAGCCUAGGCAGGCACGAGGCUUCGGGCCCCCGGAGUGUGGAACCAGCCCAGCCCGACCGCCCGGGGUUGGAGCGGGAGCCAAGCCUUGGCGGGGCCCCGGCGGCCGCAAGUCACCCCGAGAUAAUGAGGGCGCGGCAGCCGCCCAGGGCCAGCGGCGGAGGCCAGACCGCGAUCGCGCCGGCCCGCCCGCCGCUCCGG